AAGAUUUGUUGUUUAUAGGAGCGAUGAAUCUCCUUAUAAAAACUUUUUACUAUACGUAGAAGAAAUUAAGAACACUAAUGUUUUUUAUCCAAUUAAAUAUGUUUAUGUUAGCAUAAAAAAACUACCAAAUGAUUUUUAAAAUAAAUAUAUGAUAAUUUUUUAAAAUUGUGUUUAUGUAUUUAUAUGUUUAUGUAUGAAGAAAUGUAUUUAUAUAUGGAUAUAAUAAAUAUGUUGUCCAACUAUAUCGUAAUUUUUACUUUUUUAAGGACAUACCAUUAAAAUAUUAUGAAAAUUUAAUAGUUUAUAAAAAAAAAGAUAUAAAGAAUCAAAAUUUACAUACGUUUUGUGAAGAAAAAAAAUCAUUUUACGAAAAUAAAGACAAACAAAUAAAAUGCUUCUGUAGUUAUUGUCCUUCUUAUCCUAUUUUCCCAUUAUAUUCGCAUUUAAAAUAUAUAAAAGGAAAGCUUUUUUGCAACGAUAAAGAAAAAGACGAAUUAAUACUGUAUUGCUUAGAAAAAACAGAUAAAACAUAUCAUGGGUUUCUUAUUGAAAAGAGCGAGAAUUUUUAUAAGCUAAACGUUACUUUACAACAGUUCGAUUUCAAUGAUGAGAGUCUUAUAGCUAGCAAUAACCAAUCAACAUUAGAACGAAGAUCAUACAUUUUAGACGAAUAUAAUUCAGAAAUUAAUGAUGAAGUGUUUAGAGUAAAGAUUAAAUUUAAUUUUGAAAAGACGAACAAGGGAGGUUCCAUCGAAGGAAAUUAUCUAUUUGUUGAUUCAGACACGUUUAAAGAAAAGGUAGAAUCUGAGGACUUGAUAAUAGAUGAAGACAUUUUAAAAGACUCUUUCAUAGUCGAUCCUACACAUGUUGAUAAAAUAAAACUACAAAAUGCAGAAACAACAACACUGACAGAACAAACCGAGUGUGAUAAAAUAAGAAGCUAUCCAUCGACAUAUGGAACCCCUAAUGGAUCAUGUAAUUAUAUGACAAAAAAAAAAUGUUUUAAUCAUAAAUACACACUUUCACCUUUUAUAAGAUUUGAAAAUAUAAUUAAUAACAGAGAGAAGAUUUUUGCUAAUUAUUUUUUUUUUUUUCUUAAAAAAAAAAAUAAUAUGGAUUUUGAAGAUAGUAUAUAUAAUUUUACUAAUAAAAACAAAAACAUUUUUUCAAAAUAUGAAAAAAUAAAAGAUGAAGAAGAGUUAGAUUAUUUAUUAAAAAAAAAAAAAGAAAAAAAAAAUGACAAUAUUGAACAUAAAUAUAUAAAUAAUAAUACAAGCUUAAUUACAGAUAUAGAAGAUAAAUAUUACAUAGCUUUAGGUAAAAAAAAAAAUAAUUUUCUUACUAUAACAUCAUAUAAUAAUGAACCAUUAAAAAUUAAAUAUAAUAAAGAAAAAACAGGAAUUUCUAUAUCGUUUAUUCAUAAAUUAAGUGAUUGUUCUGACUUUUAUAAUCAGUCAAGUAAAACAUGUACUAUUUAUUUAAGUAUUUGGAAUGAAGAUGAUAUAGAAAAGGAGUUAAAUAUUUUUCUAAAAUGUUCUAAACAAAUAGUUAAUAAUAUUGAAACAAUUAAAAAAAAUAUAAUUUUAUGUAAAAAUUGU
Long non-coding RNA from Piliocolobus tephrosceles (Ugandan red Colobus), 1598 nucleotides. The record is from Ensembl. NCBI's taxonomy places the organism in Eukaryota, Metazoa, Chordata, Mammalia, Primates, Cercopithecidae.